AGCACAGUAAGAGCUUGCUCUUAUGGGUGGCGAGUGGCGGACGGGUGAGGAAUACAUCGGAAUCUACCUUUUCGUGGGGGAUAACGUAGGGAAACUUACGCUAAUACCGCAUACGACCUUCGGGUGAAAGCAGGGGACCUUCGGGCCUUGCGCGGAUAGAUGAGCCGAUGUCGGAUUAGCUAGUUGGCGGGGUAAAGGCCCACCAAGGCGACGAUCCGUAGCUGGUCUGAGAGGAUGAUCAGCCACACUGGAACUGAGACACGGUCCAGACUCCUACGGGAGGCAGCAGUGGGGAAUAUUGGACAAUGGGCGCAAGCCUGAUCCAGCCAUACCGCGUGGGUGAAGAAGGCCUUCGGGUUGUAAAGCCCUUUUGUUGGGAAAGAAAAGCAGUCGAUUAAUACUCGGUUGUUCUGACGGUACCCAAAGAAUAAGCACCGGCUAACUUCGUGCCAGCAGCCGCGGUAAUACGAAGGGUGCAAGCGUUACUCGGAAUUACUGGGCGUAAAGCGUGCGUAGGUGGUUGUUUAAGUCUGUUGUGAAAGCCCUGGGCUCAACCUGGGAAUUGCAGUGGAUACUGGGCGACUAGAGUGUGGUAGAGGGUAGUGGAAUUCCCGGUGUAGCAGUGAAAUGCGUAGAGAUCGGGAGGAACAUCCAUGGCGAAGGCAGCUACCUGGACCAACACUGACACUGAG
RNAcentral lists this ribosomal RNA (692 nucleotides) under Stenotrophomonas rhizophila. RNAcentral describes it as "bacterial SSU rRNA". It matches the Rfam family "Bacterial small subunit ribosomal RNA", at positions 65 to 750 of the family's 1533-position model. Lineage: Bacteria; Pseudomonadati; Pseudomonadota; Gammaproteobacteria; Lysobacterales; Lysobacteraceae. The record is from RNAcentral.